Molecule: long non-coding RNA, 2144 nt
Organism: Chrysemys picta bellii (western painted turtle)
Lineage: Eukaryota; Metazoa; Chordata; Testudines; Emydidae
Source: Ensembl
GUUAUGACAGGUCAUGAUGCCCUCAGUCAGCAUGGCCUCAAGGUUGAGGAAACCACCAUGGGCCGGUCGGACUUUAGAGAAGGUGGGUGAGAUGGGAAUUUAACUAUCAAAGCCCCUUCUGACCGCUCCCCAUUGGGCUCCUCUCAGAUCCACCUUCCCGGCCAGUGCUGAGCGUAGAUCCCCCAUCGGGAGUGGUGAGCGAAGGGCUCACGCUGCUCAUCAGCUGCAUAGCCCCCAGUGAUGCCAGCGAUCGGAGGUUCCACUUCUACAAGGAUGGAGACGAGCUCGUUCCUGGGGACGCUGGGUCUGAGAUCAGCACCACAGAGCCCAGCACCGGCUCUAUGAACGUCUCUGUGCUCAGCAUCCCACGGGCCGGUCCCAACAACACCGGGGAAUUCACCUGCGGGUACGAGGAGAACGUGAGGGGGAGGUGGAUCCCGUCCCCCAGGAGCCAUGCUGUGACCGUGAACAUCACAGCGACAGGUGAGUUUCCCUAUCCAGAGAGUGUCUGCCCAGCUCCGAUAGAUAGAGUAUUACUCUUGGUUCCUGACCAGUCCCUUGUCACCUUUUCUCUUCUCUCACAAGCAGCCUGGGCCCAAUCUAGAAACUUGCUGCCGGCAUGUGGGAUCCUCAUGGUUCCGGGCAUGGCUCUGGCUGCCCUCGUGUGCUACUGCAGGAGGAACAAGAGAGUUCCGGAGCCUUCGCAAUAUCUGAGGGGAUCUGAGCCCGGGGAAGGCGAUGGGGAACUGGACUCCAGGAGGUGCCAUGAGGAAUUGAAAUCCAGCAGUGUCAGAGUGGACCUACCAGAAGAGGUAACAGGGAUCUCUUAACAACAGAAUUUCAAACACGUCCACAAUCCAGAGCCUCCUUGAGCCUGCAAAUUCCUUGCAGAGAAAAUCGCUUGGGGGGGGAAAUGAGAGUAGCUGAAAUGCACAUUAGCUCCAUCAACCUGCCAUUCCUGCUGGGGCUGUAACCAUGGGGGAUAACUGUGCAAAAUUCCACAGCUCCAUCAGCUCCCUUCUGUCCCACCCUCACCAUAGUCACACUGAGCAGCACUUUGGGACAGGAAGUGAAGGAGAACCCUGUAUCCAAUAGACACUGCAGGUGGGGCUCAGAGGCAGGAUGGAUCCGCUGAUUUAGGGAUGUGCUCAGAACACCUGGGUUCCAUCCCCAGCUUGGGGGAAGUUCCCAGUGAACAUCAAUGAGUGGGGGAGGCCAUUCUGUGUCUCAUUAACUCCCCUUUGGCAGAGAUUGGAGUGGAAGGGGAUGUUAGAAACUGACGGCAGUUGUGGAACUGCCACAAAGCAGGGGGUGACACACAGCGCAGGAGAAUCCAGCAUCCGGUACACGACAGAGCAGGGCAGAAUGGGAUAAGAGAAGGGGUGAGGGCUGGACACCGGGGUUCACAGCGUGACUCGUGGGGGGCGAAGCACCAGGGGAUGGUUAAUGAUCAGGAUCAGGUUGAGGGGCUGGUUUGAUAUCUCAUUAGCGCCCCCUUGGAGGGAACGGUGAAUGUGCCUCUCCCCUCCAUGGCUCCCCUGCUGCCCCAUUCACUCUGUCUCUUCCUCCCCAGGGCUCUGAUGUGUACACACUCCUGACCUUCCCCUCCUCUGCAACGCCCUGAGCACCGGGGAUGGCGACUAGAGCAUUGGGAACAGAGGGGGUACUGCACUGCGAGGGGCUGCCCCGGCACAUCCAGGGAGCCACUCGGUGAGAGGCACGGAGGGAACAUGGAAAUCCAAAUCAGGGGCCCUUUAACAUUCAGGGCUCAGACACCCCAGCCUGGCCGCCUCUCCCUGUGGCCGAUCAUCCAACUGCCCUCAUACACACACGGACAGGGUCCCAUCUCCUCCAGCAGGGGGCAGCAGGGACACACACACACACACACACAGAAGGUCCCAUCUCCUCCAGCAGGGGGAAGAAUUGACACACACACAUGCACACGGAGAAGGUCCCAUCCCCUCUAGAAGGGGGUGAGAGGAACAUACACACACGCACACAAACACACACAUGCACACACAGAGUUCCUACCAUUCUUAACCUUUAUCACUGUCUCUUGCUUUUGUUGCAUUUGCUGUUCCAUUAACAUUCAUUCUCCAAGGACAGAGAAUAAACUCAAUUUCAAUUAGAAAGGCGUGACUGUU